UAGUGCUGCAAUGUAAACAUUGCAGUUUUUCUAAAACUGCAAUAUUUUACAUUGCAACACUA
This 62-nucleotide microRNA precursor is filed under the name Pelobates cultripes (western spadefoot toad). Lineage: Eukaryota; Metazoa; Chordata; Amphibia; Anura; Pelobatidae. The record is from RNAcentral.